RNAcentral lists this transfer RNA (72 nucleotides) under Neotoma lepida (desert woodrat). It matches the Rfam family "tRNA". From Rfam's summary of the family: Transfer RNA (tRNA) molecules are approximately 80 nucleotides in length. Lineage: Eukaryota; Metazoa; Chordata; Mammalia; Rodentia; Cricetidae. The record is from Rfam by way of RNAcentral.
GGAGGUGUGGCUCAGUGGUAGAGUGCUUGUCUAGCACGUCAGCAGCCCUAGGUUCCAUUUCUAGCACAUACA